RNAcentral lists this ribosomal RNA (485 nucleotides) under uncultured bacterium. RNAcentral describes it as "partial 16S ribosomal RNA". It matches the Rfam family "Bacterial small subunit ribosomal RNA", at positions 28 to 507 of the family's 1533-position model. The record is from RNAcentral.
GAUGAACGCUCGCGACAGGCUUAACACAUGCAAGUCGAGGGGCAGCACAGGUAGCAAUACCGGGUGGCGACCGGCGCACGGGUGAGUAACGCGUAUGCAACUUACCUAUCAGAGGGGGAUAACCCGGCGAAAGUCGGACUAAUGCCGCAUGAAGCAGGGGUCCCGCAUGGGGAUAUUUGCUAAAGAUUCAUCGCUGAUAGAUAGGCAUGCGUUCCAUUAGGCAGUUGGCGGGGUAACGGCCCACCAAACCGACGAUGGAUAGGGGUUCUGAGAGGAAGGUCCCCCACAUUGGUACUGAGACACGGACCAAACUCCUACGGGAGGCAGCAGUGAGGAAUAUUGGUCAAUGGCCGAGAGGCUGAACCAGCCAAGUCGCGUGAGGGAUGAAGGUUCUAUGGAUCGUAAACCUCUUUUAUAAGGGAAUAAAGUGCGGGACGUGUCCCGUUUUGUAUGUACCUUAUGAAUAAGGAUCGGCUAACUCCGUG